Molecule: non-coding RNA, 563 nt
Organism: Pelobates cultripes (western spadefoot toad)
Lineage: Eukaryota; Metazoa; Chordata; Amphibia; Anura; Pelobatidae
Source: the annotation of a GenBank genome assembly
AGUGACUCAGAUGAGGCAACUAUAUUCCAUUGCUCCAUAAUCCAGUUCUGACAAUCAGAUCACCAGUCAAAGUGCUUUUGACUUUUCAGGGGUCAUCAUGGGCACUCUGAUCAACUGCGGCUACGCAGUCACAUACGCAGCAAACUAUGAUGCACUGUGUAUACUGACACAUUUUUAUCAUGCCCAGCAUUACAUUUUUUAUCAAUUUGAGCUAUACUGCCUCAUCUGUGUGACCGGGCUUCACUCUCCACAUGUAUCAAUGAUCCUCAGGCGCCCAUAGCCCUGACGUUGGACCAAUUGUUCUUCCUUGUACAACUUUUGGUAGGUACUAACCACUGCAUACCGGGAACCAGGGCCGGAUUAACAAAGGGGCUGAUGAAGCUGCAGCUCCAGGCCCUAGCCCAUGGAAUAGGCCCAUUUAAAAAAAAUUUAAAAAUUAAAAAAAAUUGCUCUGACUCUGUUGUCUAGCCAUUACUAUUUGUCCAUUAUAAAACUCACUCAGAUCUUGUUGCUUGACCAUUUUUUCUGCUUCCAACACAUGAAUAUCAAGAACUGACUGUUCU